AGAGUUUGAUCCUGGCUCAGAACGAACGCUGGCGGCGGGCUUAACACAUGCAAGUCGAGCGCACCCUUCGGGGUGAGCGGCGGACGGGUGAGUAACGCGUGGGAACGUGCCCUUUGCUACGGAAUAGCCCCGGGAAACUGGGAUUAAUACCGUAUACGCCCUUUGGGGGAAAGAUUUAUCGGCGAAGGAUCGGCCCGCGUUAGAUUAGAUAGUUGGUGGGGUAAUGGCCUACCAAGUCUACGAUCUAUAGCUGGUUUGAGAGGAUGAUCAGCCACACUGGGACUGAGACACGGCCCAGACUCCUACGGGAGGCAGCAGUGGGGAAUCUUGGACAAUGGGGGAAACCCUGAUCCAGCCAUGCCGCGUGUGUGAUGAAGGCCCUAGGGUCGUAAAGCACUUUCGCCUGGGAAGAUAAUGACGGUACCAGGUAAAGAAACCCCGGCUAACUCCGUGCCAGCAGCCGCGGUAAUACGGAGGGGGUUAGCGUUGUUCGGAAUUACUGGGCGUAAAGCGCACGUAGGCGGAUUUGUCAGUCAGAGGUGAGAUCCCAGGGCUCAACCCUGGAACUGCCUUUGAUACUGCAAGUCUGGAGGUCGAGAGAGGUGAGUGGAAUUCCGAGUGUAGAGGUGAAAUUCGUAGAUAUUCGGAGGAACACCAGUGGCGAAGGCGGCUCACUGGCUCGAUACUGACGCUGAGGUGCGAAAGUGUGGGGAGCAAACAGGAUUAGAUACCCUGGUAGUCCACACCGUAAACGAUGAAUGCCAGUCGUCGGGCAGCAUGCCGUUCGGUGACGCAGUUAACGCUUUAAGCAUUCCGCCUGGGGAGUACGGUCGCAAGAUUAAACUCAAAGGAAUUGACGGGGGCCCGCAC
RNAcentral lists this ribosomal RNA (870 nucleotides) under uncultured bacterium. Its description in RNAcentral is "bacterial SSU rRNA". It matches the Rfam family "Bacterial small subunit ribosomal RNA", at positions 8 to 926 of the family's 1533-position model. The record is from RNAcentral.